AACGCACGAGACCUGCGGACCUGCGGAGGGAUCAUUACCGAGUGUGGCCCUUUUUUAAUGGGGGUGCCUCCCGUCCUUUGCAGGCCCUUAGGGGCUUUUUGACUUUGCUUCGGCGGGGCUGCCCCGCCGGAACACCCUCAAGAAAAUCUCAAAAAAAGAAACCGUGCAGUCCGAGGGCUUGCGAAUAAACAAAAACUUUCAACAAUGGAUCUCU
RNAcentral lists this unclassified non-coding RNA (214 nucleotides) under soil metagenome. Its description in RNAcentral is "partial contains 5.8S ribosomal RNA, internal transcribed spacer 2, and large subunit ribosomal RNA". The record is from RNAcentral.